Molecule: ribosomal RNA, 460 nt
Filed under: uncultured bacterium
Lineage: Bacteria
Description: partial 16S ribosomal RNA
Rfam family: Bacterial small subunit ribosomal RNA
Source: RNAcentral
CCUACGGGAGGCAGCAGUGAGGAAUAUUGGUCAAUGGGCGUAAGCCUGAACCAGCCAAGCCGCGUGAGGGAUGAAGGUUCUAUGGAUCGUAAACCUCUUUUAUAAGGGAAUAAAGUGUGGGACGUGUCCUGUUUUGUAUGUACCUUAUGAAUAAGGAUCGGCUAACUCCGUGCCAGCAGCCGCGGUAAUACGGAGGAUCCGAGCGUUAUCCGGAUUUAUUGGGUUUAAAGGGUGCGUCGGCGGCCUUUUAAGUCAGCGGUGAAAGUCAGUGGCUCAACCCUCGAAUUGCCGUUGAAACUGGGAGGCUUGAGUAUGUUUGAGGCAGGCGGAAUGCGUGGUGUAGCGGUGAAAUGCUUAGAUAUCACGCAGAACCCCGAUUGCGAAGGCAGCCUGCCAGGCCAUGACUGACGCUGAUGCACGAAAGCGUGGGGAUCAAACAGGAUUAGAUACCCCGGUAGUC